Long non-coding RNA from Gasterosteus aculeatus aculeatus (three-spined stickleback), 1458 nucleotides. NCBI's taxonomy places the organism in Eukaryota, Metazoa, Chordata, Actinopteri, Perciformes, Gasterosteidae. The record is from Ensembl.
ACACCCGCUAUAAAAAAGGUCCGCACCCUCUGCUAGUUCUCAAUCCUCGGCUGCCCAUCAGGUAACAACCACCUCAAAUCCUCGAGCUACUUGUCCUCGCAAUGUUCCUAGAUUACUUAAUAGUUUGAGCUGUGACGCUUCUUUAAGACAAGCUGCUUCUCUGUCCAUUAUUGUGGUCAAGUUUUCCUUUUUAACGGAAAUCUUAAAACUCAGGCCUCGCCCACGUGACUCUAGUUAUCAAACUAACAUUAACAUUCGCAAAUCCUCCGUCUCUUUAAACGAGAAUAACCUUGCCGGAGCUUUUCCCCCGUGACUGAAUGAUGAGAAAACAUGUUGGUAGGGACAUCUGAUUUACUGUGACGAAUACCAACUUUCUUCUCCUGACUUCACGGGACAAGGCCCGAAGCCGGUUGGGCUCCACGUUAGCUGCGCUGCUAGCGAGCGUUUAGCUGCUGCGUGGCCCGACCGAUGCAGAUGUGUUUUCCUCAGUUCGGCUUCAUUCAUCUUUAACUAAUAACGUGCCUUUUUUUUCAGGUUGAAAAAGAUGUGCCUCGACGUUAGUGGGGAACCACGCUGCAUACCGAGCGGGUUGAAAAAGAUGUGCCCCAACUUUAGUGGUGAACCACGUAUCAUACAAAGCUGGUGUCUCGGAAGUUGAGAGUCGUGCAGGAAGCAACAGUGGGAGCAAUUGCAAAAAAGGUGUGCCUACAUUUUGUUCACGGAUCAGUGAUGGGUCCUUAUAGCAGGUAAGGAACUUUCUUUACUUUCUUUUUUUUAAACAAACUGUAAAUGAUGAUACUUGGGAAUCUCUCUGAAAAAAGUGAAAGACUAACUUUUUUUACUGAUACAGAACAGACUAAAAUGCUUACAUAAGAGAAUAUGGGAGUGUUUACUCAUCCUUAGUUUUAACUUGCAGGUGCCCCCCCCCUCGACUUGCCUUGGGAUGCCUUUCCUCGGUUCACGAAAUGUCUGAUGGGAACACAUUGCCGUCCUCCAAAUUGAGUAACUUCAAUGCCAGGAGCUCACCACUGCUAUCAGAAUUGAGCUGAUGUGUCAGAGUUGUCAUUUAGUCCUGUGUGAUAAAUACAAGAGAUGCUCACAAGUCUUCUCCUCCAGCCAGAAAUGUGAAACCCUCCCGCCAGAAGAUCUUUCAAGACUUUGGUGAUGUCGCUUGUUGGCUCUUCCAGAGGACAACAUACCAGCAGAGUGUGACUGCUGACUUUAAAGGCCUUUGACAAGAUCAGUUUAGGAAAGGGCUUUUCCUCAUCAUAGUACCAAAAAAUGGGCUGCCUCAUCAUCCAUGAAUGACUCCCUCAACGCCUUGAUGCUGGCCAGUGGCAACCAGUUGAUAUAAACUUUUGUUACGACAUUGUGGAAAUAAAAAUUCUAAAACAAUUCUACCUCUUGUGUAUUGGUACUUUAAUCUCAACUAUUGAUGGGUAAAUAAACUCAAAUGAU